UACUCGAGUGGCGAACGGGUGAGUAACACGUGGGUGAUCUGCCCUGCACUUUGGGAUAAGCUUGGGAAACUGGGUCUAAUACCGGAUAGGAACCAUCUUUAGUGUGGUGGUUGGAAAGUUUUUUCGGUGUAGGAUGAGCUCGCGGCCUAUCAGCUUGUUGGUGGGGUAAUGGCCUACCAAGGCGGCGACGGGUAGCCGGCCUGAGAGGGUGUACGGCCACAUUGGGACUGAGAUACGGCCCAG
RNAcentral lists this ribosomal RNA (243 nucleotides) under uncultured Actinomycetales bacterium. Its description in RNAcentral is "partial 16S ribosomal RNA". It matches the Rfam family "Bacterial small subunit ribosomal RNA", at positions 88 to 334 of the family's 1533-position model. The record is from RNAcentral. Lineage: Bacteria; Bacillati; Actinomycetota; Actinomycetes; Actinomycetales.